Molecule: ribosomal RNA, 495 nt
Filed under: uncultured bacterium
Lineage: Bacteria
Description: partial 16S ribosomal RNA
Rfam family: Bacterial small subunit ribosomal RNA
Source: RNAcentral
GACGAACGCUGGCGGCGUGCCUAAUACAUGCAAGUAGAACGCUGAAGGCGGAGCUUGCUUCUCUGGAUGAGUUGCGAACGGGUGAGUAACGCGUAGGUAACCUGCCUUUUAGCGUGGGAUAACUUUUGGAAACUAUAGCUAAUACCGCAUAAUAGUAGAUGUCGCAUGACAUUUGCUUAAAAGUUUCAAUUGCAUCACUACCAGAUGCACCUUCUUUGUAUUGGCUAGUUGGAGAGGUAUCGCCUCACCAAGGCAACGAUACAUAGCAGAACGGAGAGGGUGAUCGGCCACACUGGGACUGAGACACGGCCCAGACUCAUACGGGAGGCAGCAGUAGGGAAUCGGCGGCAAUGGACGGAAGACUGACCGAGAAAGGCCGCGUGAGUGAAGAAGGUUGUCGGAUCGUAAAGGUCUGUUGUAAGAGAAGAACGAGUGUGAGAGUGGAAAGUUCACAGUGUGACGGUAUCUGACAAGAAAGGGACGGCUAACUACGUG